ACUGUUUCAGCUAUAAAGUGGUCAAUAAUCAGAGGGUUAUCAACUUGGUUUUACUUGGUUUCCUAAUCCCUUUAGUUUUGGGUUGAAAGAAUUUGCAUAGGUAUUUCUGAAAUGUAUAUUUAUGAUAUAAUACACAUAGGAUGAUAUAUAUUGUAUAUCUGUCCACGUUGAAAUAAUGCAAGUAUAUUAUGCUUCAUUUUCAGUGACCUGGAGCAUAAUAAAACCUCAAGUGCAUUCUUUUGGCAAACUAGAUAAUGUUUGAAUUAUAUAAGAGGAGGAAAUCAUCCUUCCUGUCCCGUUCUUGCUGGAGCCUGGAGUAGCCAUGGAAAACAGGCCCAGCCCAGCUGGCUAGAUCCUGACCCACACGUGUCUGCUUGCCUUUGUCAUCUCAGCUGACGCCCACUAACUUCACAAAGCAGGAGCACCUACCUGGAGGCCUGGAAGCCGACUGCAAACGUAGCCAAAGUCCUCAGGGGGCUGGGGACUUACGGAAUGCAGCUGAGUGCCUUGGAAGAAAUAUGACCAGAGAAGAAUUCUCCCCAGACUACAAGAAGUUCCUGAAGCUGGUGGGCGAGAAGGGCAGCGGGAACUUUCAUGAUCCCCUGAGUAGCACUGAGAGGAUGUCUCCUAAAAGAAAUGGCUGCCUGCUGUGUUUUGGCAGAGAGGACUCAUAAACAGCCUCCUGUGCAGCCCUGCCUCAGGUAGUCACAGAAGCUGCCGAAGUCUGUUUUGGAGAACCAUGCAGAAAUGAAGGGCACUUCUCAGGGGGAUUCCUGGGAGAGGCGCUGACCCAUGCACAGCUUUGGACUUCCAGGAGGAACCCAGGAAUGGCUGAGGUUUCCUCCAAGUAUGGAAGAAGAUAGGCUCACAACUGCAAUUAAAUUGAUUGAUAGAGAAUGAAGGUAUGCGCCAUUUUUGCACUGUUGGUUUUGUGGACUGAAAUUCAUACCCC
Molecule: long non-coding RNA, 952 nt
Filed under: Mustela putorius furo (domestic ferret)
Lineage: Eukaryota; Metazoa; Chordata; Mammalia; Carnivora; Mustelidae
Description: lncRNA (ENSMPUG00000029365.1)
Source: RNAcentral